Molecule: ribosomal RNA, 405 nt
Filed under: uncultured Bacillota bacterium
Lineage: Bacteria; Bacillati; Bacillota
Description: uncultured Firmicutes bacterium partial 16S ribosomal RNA
Rfam family: Bacterial small subunit ribosomal RNA
Source: RNAcentral
UGGGGAAUAUUGGGCAAUGGAGGAAACUCUGACCCAGCAACGCCGCGUGAGUGAAGAAGGUUUUCGGAUUGUAAAGCUCUGUGAUGGGGGACGAAAAAAAUGACGGUACCCCAAAAGCAAGCCACGGCAAACUACGUGCCAGCAGCCGCGGUAAUACGUAGGUGGCAAGCGUUGUCCGGAAUGACUGGGCGUAAAGGGUGCGUAGGUGGUUAAAUAAGUUGGAAGUGAAAUGCCGAGGCUCAACCUCGGAACUACUACCAAAACUAUAUAACUUGAGUGCAGGAGAGGUAAGCGGAAUUCCUAGUGUAGCGGUGGAAUGCGUAGAUAUUAGGAGGAACAUCAGAGGCGAAGGCGGCUUACUGGACUGUAACUGACACUGAGGCACGAAAGCGUGGGGAGCAAACA